CCACCCAUGCACCCGUUUUCCUUUUUUAAAAAUCCUUAAGGGAGGAAAAGAAACUAACAAGGAUUCCCCUAGUAACGGCGAGUGAAGCGGGAUGAGCUCAAAUUUAAAAUCUGACUGGUUUACUAGUCCGAAUUGUAGUUUAAAGAAGCGUUUUCGGUGGCAGUCUCGGUAUAAAUCCUUUGGAAUAGGGUAUCAUAGAGGGUGAGAAUCCCGUCUUUGACUGAGAAUUUGCUACUAUGUGAUACGUUUUCAAAGAGUCGAGUUGUUUGGGAAUGCAGCUCAAAAUGGGUGGUAAAUUUCAUCUAAAGCUAAAUAUUGGCGAGAGACCGAUAGCGAACAAGUACCGUGAGGGAAAGAUGAAAAGAACUUUGAAAAGAGAGUUAAACAGUGCGUGAAAUUGUUGAAAGGGAAACGCUUGAAACCAGUCAUGUAGUUGGAAAAUCAGUGUUCAAUUGGAGGGAAUGGGAGAGUUGUGGACCGCAAGGCUGCUCUUUUCUAUAUCUUUUUUGUUGGGCAUGCACUUUUUCUUCCGCAGGUCAACAUCAGUUUCUUUUGCUGGACAAAACUCUUGAGAAGGUAGCAGCUUAGGCUGUGUUAUAGCUCUGGAGCGAUACAGUGAAGGAGACUGAGGUUUUCGCAGCAUGUGCUCUCGGGCAAGGCCGGUUGGGUGCUAUGGGAUCGUUCGGGGUACAAUACAUGUAUUUUGCUUCGUGUCUUUUCUAUACUCGCUUGAUUGUGCUCUCCAUGCUAGCUACGAUGACUAAUCCCAAAAACUGGG
Molecule: ribosomal RNA, 778 nt
Filed under: Mortierella sp.
Lineage: Eukaryota; Fungi; Mortierellomycota; Mortierellomycetes; Mortierellales; Mortierellaceae
Description: eukaryotic LSU rRNA
Rfam family: Eukaryotic large subunit ribosomal RNA
Source: RNAcentral